GCAAGGAAUUUUCCGCAAUGGGCGAAAGCCUGACGGAGCAACGCCGCGUGGGGGAUGACGCCUUUCGGGGUGUAAACCUCUUUUCUUGGGGAUGACGAACGACAGUACCUGAGGAAGAAGGACCGGCUAACUACGUGCCAGCAGCCGCGGUAAUACGUAGGGUCCGAGCGUUGUCCGGAGUUACUGGGCGUAAAGCGCGCGCAGGUGGUUGAUCAAGUCUGGCGUGAAAGCCCCCGGCUUAACUGGGGAGGGUCGUCGGAGACUGGUUGACUUGAGGGCAGGAGGGGUUGGUGGAAUUCCCGGUGUAGUGGUGAAAUGCGUAGAGAUCGGGAGGAACACCCGUGGCGAAGGCGGCCAACUGGACUGACCCUGACACUGAGGCGCGAAGGCGUGGGGAGCGAACGGGAUUAGAAACCCUGGUAGUCC
Molecule: ribosomal RNA, 426 nt
Filed under: uncultured bacterium
Lineage: Bacteria
Description: bacterial SSU rRNA
Rfam family: Bacterial small subunit ribosomal RNA
Source: RNAcentral